Molecule: ribosomal RNA, 86 nt
Filed under: Astragalus dipelta
Lineage: Eukaryota; Viridiplantae; Streptophyta; Magnoliopsida; Fabales; Fabaceae
Description: partial 26S ribosomal RNA
Rfam family: Eukaryotic large subunit ribosomal RNA
Source: RNAcentral
CGAGACCUCAGGUCAGGCGGGGCUACCCGCUGAAUUUAAGCAUAUCAAUAAGCCGGAGGAAAAGAAACUAACAAAGGAUUCCCUUA